GGAUGGCGCCUCAGUUACCUCUUGAU
This 26-nucleotide non-coding RNA is filed under the name Rattus norvegicus (Norway rat). Lineage: Eukaryota; Metazoa; Chordata; Mammalia; Rodentia; Muridae. The record is from RNAcentral.